AGCAGUCGCCACGGUAAUACGUAGGUCCCGAGCGUUGUCCGGAUUUAUUGGGCGUAAAGCGAGCGCAGGCGGUUAGAUAAGUCUGAAGUUAAAGGCUGUGGCUUAACCAUAGUACGCUUUGGAAACUGUUUAACUUGAGUGCAAGAGGGGGGAGUGGAAUUCCAUGUGUAGCGGUGAAAUGCGUAGAUAUAUGGAGGAACACCGGUGGCGAAAGCGGCUCUCUGGUCUGUAACUGACGCUGAGGCUCGAAAGCGUGGGGAGCAAACAGGAUUAGAUACCCGAGUAGUCCCUGUCUCUUAUACA
RNAcentral lists this ribosomal RNA (303 nucleotides) under uncultured bacterium. Its description in RNAcentral is "partial 16S ribosomal RNA". It matches the Rfam family "Bacterial small subunit ribosomal RNA", at positions 507 to 808 of the family's 1533-position model. The record is from RNAcentral.